GGCGACGUACCCAAGUGGUUUAAGGGAUCGGUUUGCAAAACCGCUAUUCGUCAGUUCGAAUCUGACCGUCGCCUCAA
RNAcentral lists this transfer RNA (77 nucleotides) under bacterium TMED190. Its description in RNAcentral is "tRNA-Cys". It matches the Rfam family "tRNA". Rfam says of the family: Transfer RNA (tRNA) molecules are approximately 80 nucleotides in length. Their secondary structure includes four short double-helical elements and three loops (D, anti-codon, and T loops). The record is from RNAcentral. RNAcentral also lists the same sequence under 1 other name.